CCGGGGCUGGGGCCGAGGCAGAGUAAAGGGGCGCCGCCGGCAGCAGCCGCCCCCGCCCCGCGCUCCAGGCCGCCCUCCUCCCCCGGGACGUCGGGGCGUGUGCGAGCCACGCGGGCGCCUUCGCCCGGGGCUUCCCCUCCUGUGGUCCGCUCGGUUCUGCUUCUGAAUCCAUCCAGGGUCCGGGAUGACGAUCCGACACCAAGGCCAACAGUACAGGCCGAGGAUGGCAUUUGCAGAAGGUUUCCAAGCUGCCGGCUGGUCCCGAAGAAUCAGCAGUGUUUGGGCGGAAUGUCGGAGGGUGCAGAGCUUCCUGUGCGCUCAGGCACGACUGUUCCGAGGGUGUUCCACACCCUUUCUCCCAGCGGCUCCCACUAACUCCGGUGAUCCACAGGGUCACCUGCACGUGAAUGCCCCCCGUGUUGCCCUCCUUCCUUCCCCUGGCUCACUUCCCGACUACCCACUGCCGCUUCCCGGGAUCAGCCCUCUCACCAACACUAUGAGGUCCCAUUACUAUCCCCAAUUUUACAGCACGUGUAUCCUGGCUGGUUUAUGCACCUGUAGAGUUAGGGACAUGGAAUGAUCAAGAGGAUGAAUUCUGGAACUGGACUGCCCUGGGUUCACGUCUCACGUCUCAGCCCUGCCGUGAAUCAGCAAUGGGACCUCUGGAGAGGACCUUGGCUCCUAUGCGUCCCUCUGUACCUACCAGCAUACGGGCUACAAUGAUUAAUCAUUCAGUAGAACCCGCUGGCCAGCUCCUUCUGUUUUGUCUUGCAGAUUGAAGAAUCAGCGAAAGACACACAGAGCCAGAGAUGGGGCCCAAAACGUAAAGCCAGAGGAUCCUGUGAUUACAGAAUCAGGGGCCCUUGCAACACACAGGUGGCAUCGUCUAUGGCACAGGCCAGGGCCAGGGUAGACUACAGUUUUCUACAAAUUAAUUCAAACUGGAGGGACAGAACUCAGGGGGAGGGAGGAAGGAAGGAAAGGUGAAUUCAGGGUCACUUUUGAAAUCACUUUCCCUGAAGUCAUCAUUUUAUGAAUCUAUCAAGAGACAUGCAUACCUUGGAGAUAUUGUGGGGUUGGUUCCUGACCACUGUAAUAAAGCAAAGAUUGCAAUAAAGCGAAUCAGAUGAAUUUUUUGGUUUCCCAGUGUAUGUAAAAGUUAUGUUUACACUAUACCGUGGUCUAUUAAAUGUGCAAUAGUAUUAUGUCUGAAUAUGUGAUGUACGUAUCUUAAAAAUACUCUAUUUUAUUUAUUUAUUUAUUUAUUUAUUUAUUUAUUAAAAGAUUUUAUUUAUUUAUUUGACAGAGAGAGAGA
Ailuropoda melanoleuca (giant panda) is the source of this 1315-nucleotide long non-coding RNA. RefSeq lists it as uncharacterized. The record is from RefSeq and is a predicted model, not a curated record. The transcript is spliced from 3 exons. Lineage: Eukaryota; Metazoa; Chordata; Mammalia; Carnivora; Ursidae.